Molecule: long non-coding RNA, 796 nt
Organism: Mirounga angustirostris (Northern elephant seal)
Lineage: Eukaryota; Metazoa; Chordata; Mammalia; Carnivora; Phocidae
Exons: 4
Source: RefSeq, a predicted model, not a curated record
AGGGUCCUGAGACACACACGCAGAGACGCCCGCCGCCCCGAGGCCCACAGGCACCUCCACCGAACCCCUACCGCGGGGACACACACGGCGCCCCGCCAUCUCCCGGACGGCGCACCUCAGAGCGGGCAUGUGCGAGGUAGGCUCCAUGCCCAGUGUAGAACCCAACGCGGGGCUCAAUCCCACGACCCCGCGAACAUGACCUGAGCCAAAAUCAAGAGUCAGACGCUUAACCAACUGAGCCACACAGUACAACCAACUAUGACCACUGUGGCAGAGUUCUCCAACACCACCACUUCACCCGUGACUAGAAGCCAUUCCAUGAGACGGUCCACAGCUACCAGACGCAGCUCUUGACAAACCUUCCUGUGCUCUGGCCAGAGUCCUAUUACUCUGGCACUCCGGACCACAGUAAUAGACAUUUCUGCACCUGAAAGAUGAGCCCCAGAAACAGAUGUUCCUAUACCUCAAAGAAAAAAAAAUACCAGGAGCUUGCAGCUGCCCUCUUAUCACAGGUAUGGCUCAACCCCAAUCUCCCCAGAACAGACAUGAUCUUAACCCUUGAAUAUUCAAGAGGAAGGAGGUAGAGAAGAUUAUACAGUAGUACCCCCCUUCUCCACAGGGAAUAUGUUCCAAGACUCCCAGUGGAUGCCUGAACUCAUGGAUAGUACCAAACCCUAUAUAUACUAUGUUUUUUCCUACACAUACAUACCUAUGAUAAAGUUUAUAAAUUAAAGACAGUUAAAGAUUAAUGACAAUAACGUAAGACAAUUAUACUGUAAUAAAUGUUAUAUGAAUG